UACGAAGGGGGCUAGCGAUGCUCGGAAUUACUGGGCGUAAAGGGCGCGUAGGCGGCACUGUUAGUCAGGCGUGAAAGUCCUGGGCUCAACCUGGGAACUGCGCUUGAUACGGCAGAGCUAGAGGAUGGAAGAGGCUCGCGGAAUUCCCAGUGUAGAGGUGAAAUUCGUAGAUAUUGGGAAGAACACCGGUGGCGAAGGCGGCGAGCUGGUCCAUUACUGACGCUGAGGCGCGAAAGCGUGGGGAGCAAACAGG
RNAcentral lists this ribosomal RNA (253 nucleotides) under uncultured bacterium. RNAcentral's name for it is "partial 16S ribosomal RNA". It matches the Rfam family "Bacterial small subunit ribosomal RNA", at positions 524 to 776 of the family's 1533-position model. The record is from RNAcentral.